AGGCAGAAGAUCGUCUGGGAGUGGCAGGAGCUGCGAGGGUUUCUGGAGGAGCAGGAGCAGCGGCUGCUGGCCCGGCUGGAGGAGCUGGAGGGAGCCAUUGUCAAGCGAAGGGAUGAGGGUGUCUGCAGCCUGUCCUGGCAGAUUUCCCUGCUCAGCGAGAGGGGAGGAGAGAAGGGGCAGCAGCCGCUGAGCCAACCCCUGCAGGGUGCUGGGAGCACUGUGGGCAGGGAGGACGGGACGUUUCGGAAG
Mauremys reevesii (Reeves's turtle) is the source of this 249-nucleotide long non-coding RNA. RefSeq lists it as uncharacterized. The record is from RefSeq and is a predicted model, not a curated record. NCBI's taxonomy places the organism in Eukaryota, Metazoa, Chordata, Testudines, Geoemydidae. The transcript is spliced from 3 exons.